This 275-nucleotide ribosomal RNA is filed under the name uncultured bacterium. Its description in RNAcentral is "partial 16S ribosomal RNA". It matches the Rfam family "Bacterial small subunit ribosomal RNA", at positions 399 to 691 of the family's 1533-position model. The record is from RNAcentral.
GCGUGGGUGAUGAAGGCCUUCGGGUUGUAAAGCCCUUUCGGCGGGGACGAUGAUGACGGUACCCGCAGAAGAAGCCCCGGCUAACUUCGUGCCAGCAGCCGCGGUAAUACGAAGGGGGCUAGCGUUGUUCGGAAUGACUGGGCGUAAAGGGCGCGUAGGCGGCUUUUUAAGUCAGGCGUGAAAGCCCCGGGCUCAACCUGGGAACGGCGCAUGAUACUGGAAGGCUAGAGGACGGGAGAGGAUGGUGGAAUUCCCAGUGUAGAGGUGAAAUUCGU